Amphiprion ocellaris (clown anemonefish) is the source of this 558-nucleotide long non-coding RNA. The record is from Ensembl. Lineage: Eukaryota; Metazoa; Chordata; Actinopteri; Pomacentridae.
ACUUAUCAAAUUAAAUAGCUCUGGUCUCCAGUAUAUUGGCGAAUUCGGUUCUUUGUACUUAAUUUAUUAGCAUGAUUUCUUUUUAAUAUGUUGUGUACAGACUUACUUACUUCUCUGUCUACUUUUCUUACUCCAUGUAGGUUUCCCAGAGACUAUGGGUUGAGGAGGAAGUGGAAGUUUGUCGGCUUAGACCUGGUGUCAUUCCAUCAGUGUUAAACUUCCCGGCUCAUCUUGGAAGAACCAAAGAACUACAGACUCUUCACAACCUGCUCAAACUCUUGGUACAGGACCUCACCACACGGGUCAAGAAGGUUUCCUUCUCCUCAUUUCUACUCUGAAGCUCACCUUCUCCUGCUCAAACUGCUGACAAAUGUUACUGCUGCUCUCAAGUCUGGACUCCAGAACUUCCUAAAAACUCUCAAAGUCUCUUCUGCUGCAGGUUGCUUUGUAGAACUGUUACAGAAAACCUCACUAAACCACAUGGAGGGGCCUCAAGAUAGUCGUCCAAAUGAAACCAUACAAAAACCAAACUAGCACAACCCAAACGCUAAAGUCUCC